GACGAACGCUGGCGGCGUGUUUAACACAUGCAAGUCGAACGGAAAGGCCCUGCUUUUGUGGGGUGCUCGAGUGGCGAACGGGUGAGUAACACGUGAGUAACCUGCCCUUGACUUUGGGAUAACUUCAGGAAACUGGGGCUAAUACCGGAUAGGAGCUCCUGCUGCAUGGUGGGGGUUGGAAAGUUUCGGCGGUUGGGGAUGGACUCGCGGCUUAUCAGCUUGUUGGUGGGGUAGUGGCUUACCAAGGCUUUGACGGGUAGCCGGCCUGAGAGGGUGACCGGCCACAUUGGGACUGAGAUACGGCCCAGACGCCUACGGGAGGCAGCAGUGGGGAAUAUUGCACAAUGGGCGGAAGCCUGAUGCAGCAACGCCGCGUGCGGGAUGACGGCCUUCGGGUUGUAAACCGCUUUCGCCUGUGACGAAGCGUGAGUGACGGUAAUGGGUAAAGAAGCACCGGCUAACUACGUG
RNAcentral lists this ribosomal RNA (468 nucleotides) under uncultured bacterium. RNAcentral's name for it is "partial 16S ribosomal RNA". It matches the Rfam family "Bacterial small subunit ribosomal RNA", at positions 28 to 507 of the family's 1533-position model. The record is from RNAcentral.